UACGUAGGGGGCAAGCGUUAUCCGGAUUUACUGGGUGUAAAGGGAGCGUAGACGGCUUUGCAAGCCAGAUGUGAAAGCCCGGGGCUCAACCCCGGGACUGCAUUUGGAACUGUGUGGCUAGAGUGUCGGAGAGGCAGGCGGAAUUCCUAGUGUAGCGGUGAAAUGCGUAGAUAUUAGGAGGAACACCAGUGGCGAAGGCGGCCUGCUGGACGAUGACUGACACUGAGGCUCGAAAGCGUGGGGAGCAAACAGG
This 253-nucleotide ribosomal RNA is filed under the name uncultured bacterium. RNAcentral's name for it is "partial 16S ribosomal RNA". It matches the Rfam family "Bacterial small subunit ribosomal RNA", at positions 524 to 776 of the family's 1533-position model. The record is from RNAcentral.